Molecule: long non-coding RNA, 1352 nt
Filed under: Brassica napus (rape)
Lineage: Eukaryota; Viridiplantae; Streptophyta; Magnoliopsida; Brassicales; Brassicaceae
Description: long non-coding RNA (BNAP_LNC022689)
Source: RNAcentral
UUGGACUAACUUAUUUCUCUAAUAAUUCUAAAAAUCAUCUUAGUGAUGACAUGUGUAUACAAAAAGAAGAUGUAAUGUUUCACAAAUAAUAUAUAGGGAUUUGUACACAUACAGUAUUUAUACAGAAUACAGAGGUAAUUAGGUAUUGACUAAUUACAUUUAUGACCCUAACUGUUUAUUUUGUUCGUGAAGCCCAGCCCUUAUUAUACGUUUACAAUGGGACAAUAUAAAUAGAUAAGUGCUUUGUUUACGUAAACUUCACUGAUCUGUGAUUAUAAUAAAAUCACUAUAACAAGCAUUCCAAACCAGAAAAAAGACGACAAUCUAAGAAUAAAAGACAAGAGACCAAAUCCAUCCAUUCAAACGCAAACUGACGGCUAGAUUGGAGUCUGUGUUCUCAGCUAAAAUAUGUUUGGAGGAGGUACGAAACCGUAAGCACGCCGACUACUACUACCAUUGCAGCCUAAUCUCGGAUCACAAUCAAGAUGAAUAGUGUCGUGAAUCUUGUGGUACCCGUUUUUGAAUACACCAAAACCAAACACCAAACCAAUGGCUACCACUACUAAAACCAAGCAUGUGCAUAACAUGCAAAUCCUUCCACAACACAUCUUUCCUCACUCUCUUUUUCGGAGAAGGUUGUGAGAAUUGUAGAUACGUUUAGGGCCUAUAUAGAGGGUUCUUUAGGUUGUUGGUUGUGAGAGCGAGGGGGUAGAAACGUGGAGAGAGGCGUAGAAGAGAGGGAGAUUUUAGUGAAGGGAUUAUUAAGAGAGUGGUGCGUGAACGCUUUGUCUAUUUCUUGCUUUAAAGCUAACCAAGAAAGCACCCACACAACUUUGGUAUAUAUAUAGGUAAUAUUCUUCUUCUAGACCCUAAUAUUUCUUCUAAAUUUUCUUUUAAAGCAAAGUUAUCCAAGUAUUUGUAACUCAGUCCAUUAGUCAAAAAAAAAAUUGUUUUAUCGAAUUGGAAUCCUGGUUCGAAUUCAAUUAUAUAAAACAUGAUGAGAAAAAGGUUUCUUAAUGCGUUUUGAGAAUCAAAAGAAAAGAUGAAUGAGUGGAAGAAGUGAAAAACUAAUUGUGUCUAUGGAUUCUUUUUUUUUUUAAGUUAAAGUGUUCAUACAACUAUUUAAAUUCAAUGAUUAAACUUUGCUUGACAUCUUGAGAUACCAAGUUCAAAUUCCAUUAGAAAAGGAAAAGAGAAAGAGACUCCCGCUAAACACAUCUUUAUAUCCAAUAAUAGAUGCAUAAACCAAGAGAAAUACUCCAAACUAGUUGUACAAUGUUGAUCUUGAUUCUUUUUUGUAACCAAUUCAAAAUUGUAAUGUAUAUCACAUUAUAAUGUAACGCCAAACUGUG